Molecule: ribosomal RNA, 468 nt
Filed under: uncultured bacterium
Lineage: Bacteria
Description: partial 16S ribosomal RNA
Rfam family: Bacterial small subunit ribosomal RNA
Source: RNAcentral
GACGAACGCUGGCGGCGUGCUUAACACAUGCAAGUCGAACGGAAAGGCCCUGCUUUUGUGGGGUGCUCGAGUGGCGAACGGGUGAGUAACACGUGAGUAAACUGCCCUUGACUUUGGGAUAACUUCAGGAAACUGGGGCUCAUAUCGGAUAGGAGAUCCUGCUGCACGGUGGGGGUUGGAAAGUUUCGGCGGUUGGGGAUGGACUAGCGGCUUAUCAGCUUGUUGGUGAGGUAGUGGCUUACAAAGGCUUUGACGGGUAGCCGGCCUGAGAGGUUGACCGGGCACAUGGGGACUGAGAGACGGCGCAGAAGGCAAUGGGAGGCAGAAGGGGGGAAUAUUGCGCAAUGGGCGGAAGCCAGAUGCAGCAACGCCGCGUGCGGAAUGACGGCCUUCGAGUUAUAAACCGCUUUCGCCUGUGACGAAGCGUGAGUGACGGUAACGGGUAAAGAAGCACCGGCUAACUACGUG